Molecule: ribosomal RNA, 821 nt
Filed under: uncultured Granulicatella sp.
Lineage: Bacteria; Bacillati; Bacillota; Bacilli; Lactobacillales; Carnobacteriaceae
Description: bacterial SSU rRNA
Rfam family: Bacterial small subunit ribosomal RNA
Source: RNAcentral
AUGCAAGUCGAACGAGAGCGACCGGUGCUUGCACUGGUCAAUCUAGUGGCGAACGGGUGAGUAACACGUGGGUAACCUGCCCAUCAGAGGGGGAUAACAUUCGGAAACGGAUGCUAAAACCGCAUAGGUCCUUUAACCGCAUGGUUGAAGGAGGAAAAGAGGCGCAAGCUUCUGCUGAUGGAUGGACCCGCGGUGCAUUAGCUAGUUGGUGAGGUAACGGCUCACCAAGGCCGUGAUGCAUAGCCGACCUGAGAGGGUGAUCGGCCACAUUGGGACUGAGACACGGCCCAAACUCCUACGGGAGGCAGCAGUAGGGAAUCUUCCGCAAUGGACGCAAGUCUGACGGAGCAACGCCGCGUGAGUGAAGAAGGUUUUCGGAUCGUAAAACUCUGUUGUUAGAGAAGAACAAGUGCUAGAGUAACUGUUAGCGCCUUGACGGUAUCUAACCAGAAAGCCACGGCUAACUACGUGCCAGCAGCCGCGGUAAUACGUAGGUGGCAAGCGUUGUCCGGAUUUAUUGGGCGUAAAGCGAGCGCAGGCGGUUCCUUAAGUCUGAUGUGAAAGCCCCCGGCUCAACCGGGGAGGGUCAUUGGAAACUGGGGAACUUGAGUGCAGAAGAGGAGAGUGGAAUUCCAUGUGUAGCGGUGAAAUGCGUAGAUAUAUGGAGGAACACCAGUGGCGAAGGCGACUCUCUGGUCUGUAACUGACGCUGAGGCUCGAAAGCGUGGGUAGCAAACAGGAUUAGAUACCCUGGUAGUCCACGCCGUAAACGAUGAGUGCUAAGUGUUGGAGGGUUUCCGCCCUUCAGUGCUGCGGUUAAC